UGGGGAAUAUUGGACAAUGGGCGAAAGCCUGAUCCAGCAAUGCCGCGUGAGUGAUGAAGGCCUUAGGGUUGUAAAGCUCUUUUACCCGGGAUGAUAAUGACAGUACCGGGAGAAUAAGCCCCGGCUAACUCCGUGCCAGCAGCCGCGGUAAUACGGAGGGGGCUAGCGUUGUUCGGAAUUACUGGGCGUAAAGCGCACGUAGGCGGCUUUGCAAGUCAGAGGUGAAAGCCCGGGGCUCAACCCCGGAAUAGCCUUUGAGACUGCAUCGCUUGAACAUCGGAGAGGUAAGUGGAAUUCCGAGUGUAGAGGUGAAAUUCGUAGAUAUUCGGAAGAACACCAGUGGCGAAGGCGACUUACUGGACACAUAUUGACGCUGAGGUGCGAAAGCGUGGGGAGCAAACA
Molecule: ribosomal RNA, 402 nt
Filed under: uncultured Sphingomonas sp.
Lineage: Bacteria; Pseudomonadati; Pseudomonadota; Alphaproteobacteria; Sphingomonadales; Sphingomonadaceae
Description: bacterial SSU rRNA
Rfam family: Bacterial small subunit ribosomal RNA
Source: RNAcentral